AAUUGCUAGUAAUCGCGGAUCAGCAUGCCGCGGUGAAUACGUUCCCGGGUCUUGUACACACCGCCCGUCACACCACGAGAGUUUACAACACCCGAAGUCGGUGGGGUAACCCGCAAGGGAGCCAGCCGCCGAAGGUGGGGUAGAUGAUUGGGGUGAAGUCGUAACAAGGUAGCCGUAUCGGAAGGUGCGGCUGGAUCACCUCCUUUCUAUGGAG
Molecule: ribosomal RNA, 214 nt
Filed under: Paenibacillus piri
Lineage: Bacteria; Bacillati; Bacillota; Bacilli; Caryophanales; Paenibacillaceae
Description: Paenibacillus sp. MS74 partial 16S ribosomal RNA
Rfam family: Bacterial small subunit ribosomal RNA
Source: RNAcentral